Molecule: ribosomal RNA, 519 nt
Filed under: uncultured bacterium
Lineage: Bacteria
Description: bacterial SSU rRNA
Rfam family: Bacterial small subunit ribosomal RNA
Source: RNAcentral
AAUCUACUCUUUCGUGGGGGAUAACGUAGGGAAACUUACGCUAAUACCGCAUACGACCUACGGGUGAAAGCAGGGGACCUUCGGGCCUUGCGCGAUUGAAUGAGCCGAUGUCGGAUUAGCUAGUUGGCGGGGUAAAGGCCCACCAAGGCGACGAUCCGUAGCUGGUCUGAGAGGAUGAUCAGCCACACUGGAACUGAGACACGGUCCAGACUCCUACGGGAGGCAGCAGUGGGGAAUAUUGGACAAUGGGCGCAAGCCUGAUCCAGCCAUACCGCGUGGGUGAAGAAGGCCUUCGGGUUGUAAAGCCCUUUUGUUGGGAAAGAAAUCCAGCCGGUUAAUACCUGGUUGGGAUGACGGUACCCAAAGAAUAAGCACCGGCUAACUUCGUGCCAGCAGCCGCGGUAAUACGAAGGGUGCAAGCGUUACUCGGAAUUACUGGGCGUAAAGCGUGCGUAGGUGGUCGUUUUAAGUCUGUUGUGAAAGCCCUGGGCUCAACCUGGGAACUUGCAGUGGAAACUG